UCUUUUGAACAUCAAUACGCAGAUUUAUUUUUUAGCGGGAAUUUUUUGUUUUGGACGCAAGGCUGAGGUGUUCAAGAAGCAAGAUCGUUCCUUACCCUUUUAAAGUUUGAGGAAUAUGAUUCAAUCAUAGCCAAGAACCAAGAGGAAUUUAGACGGCUAAUAUCAAAGGAUAUUGUUGAAAAUAAGAAUCGUGGUUGAAUAAUCUAUAAACAAUGGCAAUGGGGCCAACGUCAUCCGAAAGCCCAAACCUUCCCAAAACGAAUAGCGCUUCAGAAAAUUGUCACAAAAAGAUUACAAGUCAAGAUGCUCAGAAUUGUCGAGCUGUAGGGAGAAUGUUGGCCAUGAUUGGAGAUCAAGUURAUCAGUGUGUAUCACUACAGCAAAGUGCGAAGGACUGCGCUAUGCAGGAGCUCAAACCCAUGGCAAUAAAAUUACAAUCUGCCGGAGCUCCAAGUAGAUAAAAGACUUUGAUGACGGCCGCCUAAAGGUUUAUGUAUAUAUUGUGAAAAUGUAAUACUGAAAUAAGACGAACAAAUAGCGAUAUUUGGUUCAUUCAAGCUCAAGAUUACUUGAUUAUUAUCAGGUCUCCUGGCUGCAUUUUUUCUAUUUUCAGAGGAACAAAACGAUUUUAAGAUAAAAAAAAUCCUAAAAAACUUGACCUAAAAUAAGUAAGGUCUAUCUAAAGAUUGACAUUAUGUAAAAUAUGCACCAUCAGCUGAUGCAUUGACAGUUUUUUUAACUGUCGUUUCCAUUGGUUUCCAUUGUUCUUGCUAUCAGAACCGGAACAGUUCAAAUGGUAGGCCCAAGAAAAACAACAUCGAGGACAAAGACCUUUGUUUUACAAUGAAUGAAGUCGAACUUUGCGCUUGAGUAAGCCUUUCAUUGUKAAGAUUUAUUGUUAGAAACUCUUGUAAAUAGGUUCAAAGUCGACUUCAUUGUACAGUAUAAAGAUUAUUAUUAUUGUA
Long non-coding RNA from Actinia tenebrosa (Australian red waratah sea anemone), 965 nucleotides. RefSeq lists it as uncharacterized. The record is from RefSeq and is a predicted model, not a curated record. Lineage: Eukaryota; Metazoa; Cnidaria; Anthozoa; Actiniaria; Actiniidae.